Long non-coding RNA from Gallus gallus (chicken), 551 nucleotides. The record is from Ensembl. NCBI's taxonomy places the organism in Eukaryota, Metazoa, Chordata, Aves, Galliformes, Phasianidae.
CUUCUAAUUUUGAGACAGAUUGAACAAUUGGAAAGUAUGAUCAGCUUUAGAAAAUUAAAAUGGAAAAUUAUCAGAACGGAAGAAUGAACCAUUUUCAUCCAUGACUUCACAUGGACUGUUUGAGUAUAGAGCCAGGUGAAAUUGAAUUGUGAAUGAAAGUAUCUAGAAAUCCCAGAUGAGACUUUUAAAUCCAAGUAAGUUUGAAGCCACUUGAACUUUUCUAAGAUUCACUCCAGCAGCUUAUUUGCACUGAACACAGAAGUCUGAGGCAAGAAUGAGAAGAGACUAAAAUGCACCAUAGGUCUAAGCCAGAAGCUUUGAACUCAGAUGAUGGUGAGGUUCCUGAACACUGAAAGAAAUAAAUAUCACUUCCAUCUUUCUCAAGAUCCAGAAGGAACAUCCAAAGAUCUACCAACCAGUCAGUCUUCCUCAAGCCCUGAGAAGGUGAUGAAGCAAUGAAUUCUGAAGUAUGUUUAGAAACACAUGAAGAACUAGGAGGUAAUCAGGAACAGUCAGCAUGUAUUUACAGUGGAGAAAUCAUGCUUUUGCAA